UCCCACUUGAGUACUAAUUGUUUGUGGAACAUGAUCAGCACGAGGGGAAAUCUAUCGCAGUUCUUGAAAGCAGAGGUAGCAAAGGAUGUGUGCAAGUGAAUGGGAAGACGAUUAAGAAAAACACUAAUUGUGAGCUCAACUCAGGGGAUGAGGUGGUCUUUGGGUUUCUUGGGAAUCAUGCUUAUAUUUUUAAGCUACAACACAAUGACUAUGUAAUCAAGACGCCUCCACCAGAUGUUCAGAGCUUAGGAAAGUUGAUUCAUGCUGAGAGACGAGCAGGAGAUGCAUCAGCUGUAGCUGGUGCUUCAAUUUUGGCAUCUCUUUCAAACUUCAGGCAAGAUUUAUCACGUUUCAAGCCUCCAUCUCGAGCCGUUACUAAAAUUCACCAAGGGAAUGAGCUACCUCUUUCUCCUAUUGUUAAUGAAGAUGAUCUGGAUGGGCAAGAAGUCAAUUCGGCUACAAAUUCAGGGAAUGAGGCAGCUGUUGAUGUUGAAGCGGCCAGCAAGGUCCUCCCUCUUGACAGCCAUUUAGACUCCGGCACUGAGGCAGGCAACUUAAAACUUUUGGAGGAAUAACGUGCUUUGACCUUAAUCAUUUAUAUGUAUAUUUUAAAAAGCCCUAAGAGCCAUACCUUCGUAAGGUGACGCUCAAGCCUCAAGACUAGAACUGUGAAAUAAUUCAAAAAAAUAUGUAAAAUUAUAAACCAUCUUGAAAAUCCAUAAUAAAACAAAGUAACAAAAUUAAAAGUCUAACUCAAACACGCCUAAAAUAAGUCAUCAUAUUAGCAUAUAAUAAGUUUUAGAUUAGUAAAAUAUUGCUACUAGAAGUAGAACAAUAGAGGAUUCUACCAUAUCAUCACUACUACUAAUAUCUUUUGAGUUAAUUGCAACAUAUCUGAGUCC
Molecule: long non-coding RNA, 902 nt
Organism: Olea europaea var. sylvestris
Lineage: Eukaryota; Viridiplantae; Streptophyta; Magnoliopsida; Lamiales; Oleaceae
Exons: 2
Source: RefSeq, a predicted model, not a curated record